CUUCCCGGCACUGGUACUGCACCCACAGGAGAAGAGACAAAUGGCGGCACAGUUACACAACAGAUGAAACAAAUAAACCAGCACAACAUGUAUCAAGACGGAUAAUACAUCUCAAAAACAAGAUGUUGAGCAAAACACAGGAACCAAAAUGAAAAGAAAAAUGCAUUCUAUAGAACGACACACAAUAUGAUACCAUUUAUAUAAACAUUAAAACCCUGCAAAGUGGCCAGGCACAGUGGCUCACACUUGUAAUCCCAGGAAGGCCAAGGUGGGCGGAUCAC
RNAcentral lists this long non-coding RNA (281 nucleotides) under Homo sapiens (human). Its description in RNAcentral is "HSALNT0234237". The record is from RNAcentral. Lineage: Eukaryota; Metazoa; Chordata; Mammalia; Primates; Hominidae.